RNAcentral lists this ribosomal RNA (426 nucleotides) under uncultured bacterium. RNAcentral's name for it is "partial 16S ribosomal RNA". It matches the Rfam family "Bacterial small subunit ribosomal RNA", at positions 354 to 796 of the family's 1533-position model. The record is from RNAcentral.
GUGAGGAAUUUUCCGCAAUGGGCGAAAGCCUGACGGAGCAAUGCCACGUGAAGGAUGAAGGCCUAUGGGUUGUAAACUUCUUUUCUCAGAAAAGAAUUAUGACGGUAUCUGAGGAAUAAGCAUCGGCUAACUCUGUGCCAGCAGCCGCGGUAAGACAGAGGAUGCAAGCGUUAUCCGGACUGAUUGGGCGUAAAGCGCCUGUAGGUUGUUUAAAAAGUAUUCUGUCAAAGAUUAGGGCUUAACCCUAGAUAGGCAGAAUAAACUUUUAAGCUAGAGUUUGGUAGAGGCGGAGGGAAUACCCGGUGGAGCUGUGAAAUGCGUAGAUAUCGGGAGGAACACCAAAGGCGAAGGCACUCUGCUGGGCCAAUACUAACACUGAGAGACGAAAGCGAGGGGAGCAAAUGGGAUUAGAAACCCGUGUAGUCC